RNAcentral lists this transfer RNA (87 nucleotides) under Firmicutes bacterium CAG:466. RNAcentral's name for it is "transfer RNA-Pseudo(TGA)". It matches the Rfam family "tRNA". Rfam says of the family: Transfer RNA (tRNA) molecules are approximately 80 nucleotides in length. Their secondary structure includes four short double-helical elements and three loops (D, anti-codon, and T loops). Further hydrogen bonds mediate the characteristic L-shaped molecular structure. tRNAs have two regions of fundamental functional importance: the anti-codon, which is responsible for specific mRNA codon recognition, and the 3' end, to which the tRNAs corresponding amino acid is attached (by aminoacyl-tRNA synthetases). tRNAs cope with the degeneracy of the genetic code in two manners: having more than one tRNA (with a specific anti-codon) for a particular amino acid; and 'wobble' base-pairing, i.e. permitting non-standard base-pairing at the 3rd anti-codon position. The record is from RNAcentral. Lineage: Bacteria; Bacillati; Bacillota.
GAAUAGGUAUGCAAGCGGACAUAAGCAAGCAGUCUUGAAAACUGAUGAGGCGGAAACGCUCCGUGGGUUCGAAUCCCACCCUAUUCG